RNAcentral lists this transfer RNA (84 nucleotides) under Chloroflexota bacterium. RNAcentral's name for it is "Chloroflexi bacterium (groundwater metagenome) tRNA-Leu". It matches the Rfam family "tRNA". Rfam says of the family: Transfer RNA (tRNA) molecules are approximately 80 nucleotides in length. Their secondary structure includes four short double-helical elements and three loops (D, anti-codon, and T loops). The record is from RNAcentral. Lineage: Bacteria; Bacillati; Chloroflexota.
GGGGCGAUGGCGGAAUCGGCAUACGCGGCGGUCUUAAAAACCGCUGGUCUAACGACCAUGUGGGUUCAAGUCCCACUCGCCUCA